GUCGUCGUCGCCACUACUAUCCUCUUCUUCUUUCGUUCACUCGACGCGCGCAGCUACACGAGAGACGAUACGGUAUCGCGCGUAAGGAAGAAACUUUGCUGGCAGCUGUAUACUGUUUAGAAUCGAAGAGAAGAAAAAGAAGUGGAAGAGGAGAAGGAGAAGGAAGAGGAGAAGGAGGCCGAUAAUAUCCCUCUCGAACGUCUCUCUUCCUGUCCCCCUCUGACCCUUCUCUCGAUCCAUUGCUGCUACCUCAUCCCUCUCCCUACCUCUUUCUUACUCGUUUCGUGACGACGUAAAUAAACGAAGGAUCGUUCGACGUCGACAUGUGUUUUUAUCCUCUCGUUCCUUACACACACGCACAUAUUAAUACAGAGAAAGACAUACGUGUAUGUAUGUACACGCGGUUUUAUUUAUCAUAAUAUUAGAGCUGCUAAAAGCGAAGAUCGCAACUAAAGAAAGGAGAGGAAGAGAGAGAGAGAGAGAGAGAGAGAAAGAGAGAUCUAGGGAGCUACUACUCACGCUUCUUACAUAGUCCAUUUUCAUGGUUAUCGCAAGAGUUAGCAAGAAAGAGUAUAACUUAAUCGCACGGGGACGCUUAUCUUCAGAAGACUUGAAACGAGUUGUGAUAAACGAGAGAGGCCGAAGGCUGAAUCAACGUCGAAAUCGCGUUUCGAACCGUAUAAAAGCCGUACGUACUUACGUACAUAUAUAUACAUAUACACAAAUACACACGGUCGCCCGUCGAACCGAUCGAUAAUUUUGGUUUGACCUCUGGAUAACUCGAGCACGUGCGAGAUAUUGGAUUCGCUUUGAGAGGAGGAAACAACAGUGGCAGAGCCGAUUUUAAACACGGAUCAACGUGCCAACACAAUUUUCUUGCCUUUUCUCUAUCGAGAGAGAAAAAGAGAGAGAUUCCUGAUAGUCUCUAGUUUCAUACAACCCACCCCUACGCCCCGCACUUUUCACGCAUUCUUUCUUCUCCCUUCCCUAGAAAAUUCUUAUCAUUUUACGCUUUUACUUUUACCUACCCUUUUCCACCCUUUACAAUUUUACUAACCACCAUUUUUUAUCAACCCAUCUUUACCAUCCUAUUCUAUUUCGCUAUUUCUUUCUUUUCAUCUUUCUCUUGAAAAUGUCCGAUGAAUCAACCUGUUACACAUAGUAUCAAAAAGUAACAUUAUUUCUCCCAUUUUUUUUUAAUAUGGUGAAAUGAUGACGUGUAAUAAUAUUAUAAAUUUUGCGAAUAUGCAUAUACGGAAUCGUACCAACCACCAACCAACCCAACCCACCCCAUCCCGCUUCACCUUUCCCAUUCUCCCCCGCUAUCACCCGAGUCGACGAGUUUAGUUGCAGGAAACAACAGAAGCUACUUGUCGAACCGUGUCCCGUCGUAGAGUAAGUUAACUCCUAUAGAAGGCACAAUAUAUAUGUGUGUGUAUACAAUAUGUAUGUACGUACGUACGUAUGUAUAUAGCACGUUUCCCAUUGCGUGUCACUGGGUCACUACAUUUCGCAUAGGGGCAGACUAACGAUGGGCUGCUGUUUUUUUCUUCUUUUCUUUUCUCUUAUAUUUUUUUUCAUGUUUUUUUUUUUCAUCCUUUACUAUCAACGUAAAUGCAUCUCACGGAAUGAAUUCCUUCCGGUUUCGUCGAGACGGACUAAUCGCCAGACGAACGACGAAAAUGAAUAACUCGUUGUUCGUAAAGUUUGUUUGGGUGAUCAAUUUAAUCGAGAGAGAAAAAGAGAGAGAGAGAGAAAGAGAGAGAGAAUGAAAGAUCAUACCAUCCUAUUUUUUCUCUUUUUUUCUUUUUUCAAUAAUAUUAACGAAAAACACGAAGAUAAAUGACAUAGAAAUCUAAAAUGCCGUUGCAAGUAUUAUGCAGGAAACAAACAUCGGUGUUAUCUCGUCUUGUGUGACGUAACCCCGUGUAACAGAUACGACGCGAUUCGAGAUAGAGUGAAAAGAAAAACAAAGAAAGAAAAAAAGAAACAAAGAAACACGAUUAAAAGAAAAAAAAAGAGAGUGGAGUAACAUAAGAUAACACAGAUAAAGAUUUUAAUCGAUUAGGAUCGAGAUCAACCCGAAGAGAGAGCAUCGUUUUACCUCCUUUUUUCUCUUUAUUUUUUUGUUCUUGUUUUCUUUCUUUUGUUUUGUUUUUCGUACAAGCAUAUAGAGUCGGCUUCAACGUAUGAAUGUAUAUACAGUGUGAAUGUAUAGUAUGAAGUCGAGUCGUACUUCAGGCAAGCCGCCACCGGCUGUCCUUACGUACUCUCGCAUGAUUCUUAGUGCGUCUCGUGACGUCACCGGCGCAAAACGUGGCAACGUAGCGAUAGAAGUACGAGCAGCGUUGCCUGAUAGUACGAAGCUUCUGGAUUGCGUCGUUCCUAGGUCGUCGUCGUCGCGUCGUUGGUCUAUAGUUCGUCAACGAUUUCCGUUAAAAUCGAACUUUGCUGUUGAGUCUUUCGCAAAGAUAUUUACUUCUAUGUAGAUAGAUAAAAAGAGAUGUAUACAUACAUACAUAUAUAUGAUAUAUAUAAUAUAUAUAUAUAUAGAGAGAGAGAAAGGAAAAGAUACGUAAUGCCGUGAUUCAGUUGACGGUAUCGAUUUACUACUCUACUCUACUCUACUCUUCUCUCUCUCUCUCUCUCUCUUUCUCUCUCUCUCUCUUUUCUCCCUCUCCUUCCUCCGACUUUCGAAGCGAUGACGAACCACAAGCAAUGUCGUAGAGAGUGUAGUAGAAACAAGUAAGGAGAAGAGAGAUGUGGAUAGAGACGAUGGCAAAGAAGCAGAAGCAGCGGCAACGGCAAUAGCACAGCAGCAGCAGCAGUCUACCCUUGUGUUUGUUCGGUUCUCAUGGAAAAGCGCCUCAGGAGACUGCGUACCGGGUGGUGUUGUAGUGGUAGUGGGUAGUAGUGGUGUGGUAGUGGUGACGACGACGAUGGUAGUAGUGAUGGAGGUGGUAGUAGCGGUGGUGCAGGAGGGUGUGGCGGGUAGAGGGAGAGAUAAUACCGUUCCGUCACGUCACGGUGCAAGCCGGCCGGAGAAAAUCAAUCCGGUCGUUCACUACUAACCUUCUGGUAGAACCGCGACGACUCGUGCUACUAUCACCGUCGAAAACGUCGCCGCUGCUUCAAGGAUCUCGACGCGAUAUUGACCUGGGGUUGCGUUAGGUUAUUCCCGCCGAGGUUCUUGUACCUAUCGCUCGAAUACCAUCCCGACGACUCUUCCUUCUCUCUCUCUCUCUCUCUCUGUCUCUCUCUCUCUCUCUCUCUCUCUCUCAUUCUGAAUCUCUCAUAUAUAUAUAUCAUGCUUUUCUAGCACGAAUGCAAAGUCGGAUCGUUAGAUGUAACGUUGCUAAUGAGAUUUCCGUUUCGAGUAUCAACCCUGUCCCCCUUUGCUCUUGUCCUUGGCCUCGUAUCGUCGGUACGAACGGCUAGCGACAAACGCGAGGAGAAAAAGCGCGAAGGAUAUUAUUAUUAUUGUUGUUAUUACUAUUACUAUUAUUAUUAUUAUUAUUAUUAUUAUUAUUAUUAUUAUUAUUAUUAUUAAUAUUAUUAUUAUUAUUAUUAUUAUUAUUAUUAUUAUUGUUAUUAUUGUUAUUAUCAUCAUCAAUUCCUGUCCGUUAAUUCGAUUCGUCCGAUUUCAAAUCUUUCUUUUCUUUGUUUUUCUUUUUUUUCUUUUGCAUUCGUUAUUCGUUGCGAAAGCACCGAUGACUAUCGAGCCAAGUAGAGCGUACGUUCUCUUCCUGUUUCUUUCUACGACCCACGACGCCUUUCGCCUUUUCGUUUGAUCAACGUAGAACUUCGCAAAGAUCAUCUGCUUGAUGAAAAUUACUAAUUCUUUUUUAUUCUUUUUCUUUAUUUCUUUUCAUACGGCUAUUAGAUCAACGUAGUUGAGGUUAGUGAUUUUGAAAGAGUUUUAUGUCGUACGAUUGUUCGCGUUGAUCAUCCGCAUUGGUGAACUACGUAUAUGUGUAUGUAAGUACGUACGUAUGUACGUGUGUAUAUAUAUAUAUAUAUAUAUAUAUAUAUAUAUAUAUAUAUAUAUAUUUAUGUAGUAAAAAGCACAACGAACGGACGCUCGUCCGACAACGUCGACCUAAUUCGGUAGGCAACCUACUAGCAACUACAAUACGAUGACGUCACGAAUACGAUGGUCGAUCUCCGUAAGCAGUCACGGCUAAAAACGCGACGCGUUGUCGGUCCGAUCAUACGAGCUGUUGUUACAUUGGCGCGCGACAAUGGCACGGUGUCGUACGUUACAUACGUUACGUUUACGUUAUGCGCUCUGCGAUGUCACGGCGUGACAAUGCAACGUAUCGAGGACGACAACGAAAGGUUUGAGGAGAGGGGAGAGAGAGAGAAAAACAGACAUUAAUAGUUUUACUCGAUAAUAGACAAUUCUCUCAUUAUCAUGAAUUGAAUUAUGUUUCUUGAGUAUGUGUUGUUAAAUCUUUAUACACGAAUUAUUCAUUUUGACUUUUACCACGAGGCAGCCAGAAAAAUCCACCACCACCAUAUCGCCGCCGCCGUCGCAGCGGUUCGCCGCCAUCAUUCAAGAUGGCGUCGUUAAACGUAGCGUCGGGAGAAAACGAAAGUAAUAUAACAGGCAUUGCGCCGCUCGCCGCUCAGCCGCUCGUUGAGAUAGUGGCUUCUUGCGUUGUUGCAUAUCUUCUUUCGAGAGAACGAUUCGAAAGGAAACGAUAACAAACGGCAAUAACGUUCUUUUUCAAUCGUCCUGUCCUUUUUCUUUCUUAUCUUUCCCUCUUCUUUUCUUAUUUUUCGUUCUUUUCUUUAUCCGUGACGCUGACCGGGGGAGGGAAGAAAGAAUGUUACAACUAUCUGUCAUAUAUUCCACCGAGUUUACAGGUGUGUUUGUAAACAAACGCAAGGGAAAGGGGAAGAAGGCAUUAAACGGCAUAUAGUUUGAGAGAGAAAGAAAAGGAUGAGAGAAGGAUGGAAAAUCGAAGACAGCUCUUGCGCUCCUGUUGGGUUUCACGUGCAAACCAACAUCUUGCAUGGCGUUUUGGUUAGGUAUCACCUCGUUUAUCUCUGGGGGAGAAGAGGGGUACGCUCUGCAAAACCCUCCUCUUUUACGCUUCGUCGCUCUUUCUGUCGUCGUCGUCGUCGUCCUCGUCUUCGUCUCUUUCUCCCUAUCCCCCUUCCAACCUCUUCUCCUCUCUCCCUUCAGCUUUUCUCAUGACUAACGUGACGUCAUCUUAUAAGCUCGAAAGAGCGACUACUCCGGAGAGUAGCGGGAAGGAGAAAAGGCACGCAACGUGGCUCGACCAGUCUCACUCCUUCCCCCUCUCUCUCGCCUGACCUCCUCGUCGAACGCAACCAUCCCAUCCACACAUCAACGAUGCACACGCUCGACGACGACGACUCGACGACGCACAAUGACAUCGCUCGCGUGUAGCCGUUGGUUCGACGCUCGGCCGGCUGCUGUUCCCCCUCUCUCUUUCCUGGGCGAUAUUAAAGGAAGAAGCACCUGACGAAACCAGCCGGGUUGUCGAGCAGACGGCCAGGCAUAGGUAGGCUAGCUGGCAGGCAGGCAGCUCGUGUACGUAACGACGUACCUGCGGCAGGUGAAUCGAGUCAGGUGCCUCAACAGAUGGGUGCCUUUACUCAAGGAAGCGUUAUAAAAGCGGUCUAUAUCAUAAAUGUGGGUUAGUAGCGAUGACUAAUCCUCUCAAUGAUAGUGAAAUAUUUUAUCGUUUUUCUUUUCUUUGUGUGCGCUUGUGCGCGCGCGUGUAUGGGUAUUUUUAUGCGUGAAUACGCGCGUUUUAUAUAAAAAAAAGCUUAAGUCAUAUAUAAAUAUAACACAAUAAAUACAGUACAUACAGUACAAAUACAAUAUAUAUAAAGUACAUAUGUAUAUGUAUACACAUUGUACUUUGUACGUAUAUGUAUAUGUAUAAAUAAAUAAAUAAAUAAGUAUAUAUAUCCUUUGAAUUACGCCCACUUUUUCGACAAAUCAAUUUUAUAAGAAUUCAUUGAAUAUUCAAAUAUUCGAAUAUCGGAGCAUAUUCGAUUUUAAUAAUAAAUGAAGUUCAAGGAACGAUGAAAGAAUCAUGAGAGUCUAAAGCAUGAACGACCGAUAAUAAAUUCGUAUAUUUAAAAUUAUUCCGUUGUCUUUAAAGGUGUUUACCAAACGCGAAUAAUAUAUACUCAUUCUUCUUCUACUUCUUUUAUUUCUUAAGUCUGUUUUCCUUUCCUUUUCUGUUUUGUUAUUGUUUUUCUUUUUUCCUUUUCACAAAGAGAAAGAGAGAGAGAGAGAGAGAGAGAGAGAGAGAGAGAGAGAGAGAGAGAGAGAGAGAGAGAGAGAAAGAGAGAGAUAGAGAGACACGUGGUACUAGACACAUGUAUGCACUAGACCGAAUGCAUCAUGAGUUAUGAGUACAAACAAGUAUUUGCAGUCACGUGUUAGGAAUGGGAUAAUGAAAACGUGACGCGAUUAUGCAUUCUUCCUGUGCUGUCAUUUCUCACUUGCUGGAUGAGUGGCUCUCUCUUAUUCCCCCCUUCUCUCUACAUAUAGCGAAACAAAGGUACCGGUCUGGGGUCCGUCCGUUCGUCUGUCCGUCCAUCCGUCUGCCUGUCCGUCUGCCGUUAAUCGCGCGUUUAUUUGCAAUGUUAUACAACUUCUUUUGUUUUUGUUUUUUUCUUUUACGAAAUAUAUAAUAACGGUUACAGAUGGACAGAAAUAAAUAAAUAGAUAGAUAGAUAGAUAGAUAGAUAGAGAGAGAGAGAAAGAGAAAGAGAGAGAGAGAGAGAGAGAGAGAGAGAGAGAGAGAGAGAGAGAGAGAGAUGACCAAUCACUUGUAAUAGGUUUCUAUUUUUAACCUGACUUUUUUCAUGUUUUGCUGGCACCUUUUCACGUAUCAGAAAAAGUUAACGGUAAGAAGAAACAUCACCCAGGAAUUAGAAUCUCUAAAGUACUGUACUCUCUCUUUCUCUCUGUCUGUCUCUCUAUCUCUUUCCCUUUUGUACACAUUAAAGGAGAGUAAAUUUCUCGUGGUACUCUUCGCAACGAUGCUAUUUGCGAAAUCAUUUCAUUCGUACUCUUUCUUUCUUCCCACAUCGAGCGGAGCAAGGCUGCGGAUUCAAGGUCAACUUCUUCUUCCUUCUUUUCUUUUGCAUCUCUUGUAAAAGGUGAAUCGUCA
Molecule: long non-coding RNA, 7163 nt
Organism: Vespa crabro (European hornet)
Lineage: Eukaryota; Metazoa; Arthropoda; Insecta; Hymenoptera; Vespidae
Exons: 3
Source: RefSeq, a predicted model, not a curated record